UUAUCCAAAUACCACACUUAAACUGUUUUUGGAUUUUUUUUUUGGAUCAUCUGUAAUUCAGGCUUACUGAAUAUUUCCAUCACAAAGUUCCUGGUGCAGAAUAUGGUAGCGGGGAUAGAAUCCAGAAUUUGCUUCCAGCGUGUGAAAUGUGCAAUUAUUAAAAGGAAAUAUUUAAAUAUUUAACUCCCACUGUGCUCUUGGGAUCACAGUGCCAAUAAGAGGCUUCAGAAAAAUUAAUUGUUUCAUCAAGUAGAAGCACCUGAGGAGGGUCCAUGGCCAGGGUGCUCUGCCAGGGCUUCCCAAGGAGCAGAGCUGCCUUCAGGAGGAAGCUGGGGAUGAUAUUUAUAAGGAAUGAAGGGUGGGAUCUGCUUUAGCAUCAAAAUAUUGAGCUUGAAAUUAAUAAUCAUCCAGUUAUGACAGCAGUAAACGGCAGUGGCACCCAGCUGAAGGGAAUGGCAGGGGGAAGUAGGAGUGUCCUGCACGAGAGAGCUGCACCAGGGGAUGCUCAGGGCUCUCACUGCAAGAAUUGGCCUCAGGGUGGGUUUACCUCAAGAAUUAGGUAAGGAUAGAAAGGUUGUCCCUGUGCUCACUGUGCCACAGAAGGUGUCAGUGCUGCCUGGCUGUGGCUCUGAGAAGAUAAAGAGGAUUUCUUUGUGACCCCCUGCUAUCUUUGAUAUUCAUUCAAGCGCUUGGGACAAUCCUGAGGACGCCCCUGAUACGAAAUGAAAAUAAAAAUGGAAUUUCUCUCCUUUCAGAGCCUUUCCUCAGAGCCAGAGCUGCUCAGUGCUGGCUGGGGCUGUAACUCAUGAGCAUUUCCAGCAGGAGCCAGAUGUAGGAACUCUCAUUUUCUAUGGCAGAUUCCUCCUGGAGCCAGCAUUACCAAGCCAUGAUUAGAUCAGAUGACACCAUGGGAAGUUUCAAAUGGAGAAAAAGCCGGAGCAGGGAUGCUGCAGAGCUGGAAUGUUCUGUCCUCAGUGAAGGGCCUUCAUUCCCAGGGAUCCUGUCAAAGGCAGCAGCUCUCUGAUGAAGCUCAAUAAUUUGGAUUUUAAUCCCUAACAGCAGCCACUGCCUGGGUGCUUGAUCACAGUGUGAUCUUUUCCUGUCAGCCCUUUGCUCUGCAGCAGGAUCUGGGGGAUUGAAUUCUCCAGGCUGAAACAGAGAUAUUUGUAUUUACUGAAACGAUGCCCCUUUGUAUUUAUCUCUGCAUUUAUCCAUUUUAUUCUCUUUCCAAGGCAGGAUUUCCAUUGACUAACACCAUGGGAAAUUUAGAAUGAGCCAGAGCCAGUUGAAAGCAGAGCUGUGAAUUCAUCUGCUUCAGUUCCAGUGCUCUUUUAUGGAAAUCAGGACUCUAACCAGGAACCUUUUGUUGUCACUUCGUGAGAGUUGGUGUGGCAGGAUAAAUUGAGUCAUUAAUUGCAAGCCCACCAGUGGGAUCUUGAAAUAUGGAUAUGAUGUGUGGGAAUGCAUGGGAAGCUGAAGGAAUGGGAUGUGCAGAGGCUGCCACAGUGAAAAAAAAUAUUGAAUAUGAAAGGUGAAAACAGAGGAAUUGAAGAGCAAAAGGUGAUUUUAAAGAAAACACAACUAUCAUCUGCAAAAAAAGGGGGAACAGCGAAAAGAAUUAAAUGCUGGCUAUUCCAUAUUAUUCCAAACAUCAGUUACAGAAAAGUGCCAUAAAUUAAAUUUCAUGGCAUCCUAUAAAACGUGUGGAUUUUAUGGGUUUCCCAUCCCUAACUCCUGGCAUUUAACACAAGCCAAAACAGGUGGAGUGGCAGGAAAAGGAGAUCUGGGGAGGGAUGAUCUAGAGGGGCUUCAGAUGCUGUUAAAGAGGACUUGCCCCUUGGAUCCUCAAAUUCUCAUUAUUAAUUUGGAUUUACUGAACACUUUCAAAUGGAUUGUGAUGAGGUAAUACAAAUAGAAGGAAUUUAUGAAUAUUUGUGGCAGGAAUACUGAAAACACUGGCUUUUCCAGCAGUGCAGAGGAGGAGAAAUCACUGCUGGAUCUUGUGCAGCUCUAGCAGCCACUCUGAUGGUGAUGUAACCUUAAAAAAGCACUGAAUUGGGCUGUCAAAUAACCUGAGCAGCAACGUGUGUAGAUAUAUAUAAAUAUAUCUGAAGUGUUACAUAAAAGAGGAAUUUUAAUAUGUUACAAAAACUGGUAACAUGAUGGCAAGAAAUCUGUUAAUUAGCAUGUCUGCCAUACAUCUUUUUGAACAGUCACCUUAAGAAGAACUGAGGACAGUGUUAGCAACGAUGUGAUACAAAAUAAUUAGCUUGUUUUCAGGGCUUAAAUAGUCAUUACUUUCCUGUGAAGUCCCUAAUUAAGCUAAUCCUAGUUUAUAAUACAUUAGCAACAACUAUUUAUGUAGAAGCUACUUCUUAGGGGGCUAAAAAUAACAUUCAAGUUUCGAAAGGCUCCAAAUGAUCUGCAAAAUUGUAGAGCUCGGGACAGGAACAAUACAGACUGAAAAAAUUAUGUAAGAGCUUGAUUUAUUCCUCGCUGCCCACAUGAAAUUCACUCACCUGAAGGCUGCAGAUACAACUGUUUAAAGGCUUUCAUGAAACAAUUUUCUCCUUUCUACUCUCAAAGCCCAUGACAGGCUGCUACCACGAUUUUCUCAGGAGGUCCUGUUGCAGCACUGCCCAAUUAUUUCCUAAAAAGUGUAAAGAUUUUUCUCCCUGACUCACAGUGUAAGAGAUGAAGGAAUGAUUUUCGGUUUGAUGUUCCACUUCAGUCAAAGGAAAAGAACUGAUAACAUGAAGUUGACACAAAACAAAGCACAAAAGUCGGUGCUGUUGGACAAAAUGAGCUUUGACCUUCGUCCACACACAAAAAAAAGGAGCUCUGAAAAGGUAGAAAAAGAUACAAAAAGAGGAAGAUCCAUAUCUUGCAGUUGCCACUUUUUCCCAAGUGGACAGAGUUAUUGCUUUCCCUGACUUUUUGCCUUGCUCCAUCAUCUACCUGUGGUCAGUUGGAGGCAAUGUUUAGGUACAAAGCCCUCAAGCCAUGCAGGAACGAGCUCUGAUGAAAUUAUCUGAGGUGGGAAAAUCCAGCCUGGUGUGGAAGACCAAGGUCUCCCCUCCCAGCCAAAAGGAAUCAUUUACUGGAAAGAAUUAAACAGCCAAUGAAUCAAAAUGAAGCAGGAAACCUGGAUCUCCCCAUGGCUUGGAUCUACAGGGAAGGGAUUUCACUUUCCAUUUAAAGACAGAGCUGACCUUCUCACGUAAAUAAUUUGUAGAAGUUUCUUUAUCAGCUUGGGCUCAAAAUGUGAGUGAGGUAACCACGGUGAGAAAGUGCCUGGGAUCCACCUGAAGUGCCACGAACCAUGGGCUUCCCUGCAGCUGCCAUCCCACUGAACCCUGUGCUGGCUGCAUCACAUCAUGGAAUAUUCUCUCUGUUCCCCCUGUACUGGAUCAAUAAUUGAUCCACUUUUCUUACAUGGGCUGUUGAAUGUGUUGUAAGAGGCAAAAUGUACACAGUGUGUGUAGGGGAGGGGGAUUUCCUGUGAGAGAUAUUUACAGGGCUGUAAAGCCCAGGAACAGAGGUAAGGCUGAGUGCAGGGAUGUGUCUCCCUCAGGUGUGACAAGCAACUGCUUUUCAUGCCCACUUUUAAUUUUUUUUCUGCAUGAGAGAUGCAAAAAACCACUCCAUAGACAAUUUGCUGAGGCAAAUAUCAGCGAGUCCUUAUUUCAACCCAUACAAAACAGAGAAAAAAAUUCACCACAAUGCAUAAAGUCCUGCAAUAAUGUGAUCUUGUGUUCAGAGCAGAGGCAACAUGUACACAAAUUACCCCAUUUUUUGUGUUGUUUGCCUCUGAAUUGAGAGUUGAAACUCCUGAUUCUGUCCCCAAGUGAGAUUUUGGUAACUCCAUUCUCACCCUGCUGAAGGCUUAGGACAGGCCUUUUAAAUUCAGAAACCCUUAAUGCACACAUGUACCAGGCUCAGGCUGAUUUUUUUAUGAGCACAUUUAAGUUGGAAAAGAUUAAGUAGAAUUAAACAUGGAUGCCUUUUUAACAGAGCUCUCUCCCAGAAGAGAUCCCUUUCUUCAGCACUCACUCCAAAGACUCCUUCAGCACUGUUAGAUUUGACUGCAAAUGACAGGCUGUACACAGGAAGCAGACAUUUAUGUCCCUAUCAUCACUUAUUAACUGUUGUUAUUGUCACUGACAACGUCGUGAUAAUAAUAGGGAUCCUCUCAACAGCUGGCUUGGAGAUGUAGGAGUUUAUGACAUUCAGAAGUGUCUCAGCAGAAGUGACAGGUGAAGGCAUGCUCAGAAGCAAUUUAUCCUGGGAAGAGAAUAUAAAAGCCAUUUGAGCUGGCUGAGACCUUGGGGGGUCUUCACUAACCCUCAGGAUUUGUUGUAGAGGUUGAAAAGCAGCAACGUUUUCUUUUAAUAAGGCAUCACCUGUAAAUCACUCCCCAGUGCCAGCAUGCUGCAGCUCAUCCAGGAAAAUCACUGCCAGGGAAUGAUGGUGUUGCACUAAACACGGUGGGGCAGCUGUGGAGGAAUGGAAAAAAGCAGGGAAAGCAGCUGUCAACCGAUUCAGCAUGGAGGGGAUGUGCUGAGAGGUUGAUUUCCUUCAGCUCUGGUAAGGUGUGGGAUUCUUGUGAGCAGGGUUUGGCUGCCGAAAGGCUCGGGCCUGGAGAGUGGGCAAUGCCUUCAGCUUCCCAGAUUUUUGUUUUGUGGGGACCUGAGACUUUCAGGCACCACCUCACCUGCAGUGCAAAGAACUGGAUCCUGUGUCCUCAUCCACAUGCACUUCUCCAAGCUCUGGUCCACCACCAGCCAAAGCCCCAGGAUCCCUCAUCACCUGCAGCUCAGGUUUCCAUGGGAUUCUCAAAGGGAUCUCUGGGAUCACCCAAAACUUAUGGAUGUCGGCCAAAACCCUCCUGGAUCCAGUAAAUCUACAUCCAAAGGACUUCAAAAGAAGGAUUUAGAAGUACAGAUCCCCAGCUUGACAGGAGACCAGCUCCACAUGAGUGACAGACAGACAGACAGAAAGACAGAGUGGCCUGAGCAGCCCUAGGUCGUGCCUACGCCCUGGUGGGCUGGGAGAGACCUCAGCAAGGCUUGGAAUGCCAAGAUGUGGCCAAAGAAAUAUUGUGUUGGGAGGUUUGCAGCUCAGCCUUCAGAAAAGGAGGUGUUUGGACAAUGCUCUCAUCAUGUGCUGGAUUCAUGGGGUGGUGCUGUGCAGAGCCAGGAGCUGGGUCUGGUGAUCCCUGUGUGCCCCUCACAAUCCAGGGAAUUCUGAGGUACCCAAUGCCCUGAUUAUCAUCUCUGGCCUCCAAGGCUGCCACUGUCCCUGCUCCACCAGCUGCAGGGAAUCUUCCCUGCUGCCCAAGGAAAUAAAUCUUUACACCUUCUCCAGCCACAAACAAAUAAUUCUGAGUGAUCCAAAUCAAAUGGCUUAGGCAAUGUGUUAUCUGAAGCUGGAAGAGGCAGAUUUCAGCUGUGACAAACCAAAGGCAGGGGGAGCAUUAUUAGCCAGGCUGUGUCUCCCAGGAUUAGAGGUAGGAGAUCUAAUAUAUAGAAGGACCCAAGGGUGGGAUUAUCCUGGGCUAAUACACCCUUUAGGUUUUGAAACUGCAGCCAAAGCAAUCAAACCUGUUACCAUAGCAUUCGUUUUAAUGCACAGAUAAAUUUGUAGCUCUUGUUUAUAUAGCUCAUCCUCUGGAGGCACUAAUAUGAUUCCCUUUAAAACUCAAGUUAAUGAGAAAAUAAUGGACAUUGUGGAUAUAAUAAACAUUUUUCCCACUGUCGCUGUCAUCAUCUUUUAUACAGUCAGACUGAUCUUUGAAAGUAUAAGUUGGAUUUAUUUUAUGUACCACAAAACCUUUAAAAAUCUUUCUUUAAACUGAGCUUUCUGAUUCCAGCCUAAAGCCAGAAACACUCACUGUCUAAACAUAUUUAUAAAUCAGUGUAUCACCCGUAAAUCUUACCUUAUCCCUAAUAGGAAAUUUAAAAUUGUAACUCUUGAAACUUCACCUUGGCAACGCACAUUCUUAUUUUAUUGGCUUUCCUGGACAGAAAGCGCUGAUGAGAUGGAGAAUGUGGCCAGGGAAUAGGGAUUGCAUCUCCCUGGCUGGGGGCAGUGAGCCGUGUAACGAAGCCAUGUGUGUUUACUUUCCUUUGGAUACAGCACUGCAGCAAAUCUUCAGCCUUUUUCAAGGUUUUUCAAGUUUCUUUUUAGCCCAGAAGUUGUCCUUCAAUCCUUUUGGACCAGCUGAGGAGCUCCAUCCUCAUGGAAUGUCCUCCAGUGCAAGGACAUCAGCAGGUCUGAUAUGAGCUGGUACCAAGCUGGUACAAAGCUCAGUAAUUCACUUUGUCUGGGAAGGAUGGGUGGUCUGUACAUAAUUUACAUUAUCUGGCAUUUGUUAUUCAUACCUAUAAACAAACACCUGUGUGGAUUGGGCCUUCAGACAUUUCAAACUUCCUAAGAUUUAAUAACAACAGCAGUAAUGUGAUUUGCUGGGUCUGAUGUUUUAUCCUUGGCCUCACUUGAAGAUUGUGGGAGUUUUGGUCUGAGGAGAAAGAUUUGGAGGCUGCUGUUGGCUGUGCCUCUGCUGAGGGUAUCUCCCUUGGAAAAUUCAUAUUGUUACUCCGUAGCUUUUGUCUCUGCUGCACCUGGAUUUUCUUAAUCUCACCUGGAUUUGGGACUGUUCCUGCCCUCCUUCAGUCCAGAAGUGUGGCCAUGCCAAAUCACACCUGCCCUUCCCUGCAGCUCUGUGUUGCUCCUGUCCUGGGGACACUUUGGUCUGUCUGGAGAGGCAGAAGGAUGAGAGAGAAGAGAGGAAUGUAAUAAUAAGAACAAUCUUGUGAGGUCGUGACCAAGUUAAAUUUCAUCUCCCUGGGCUUCUCCAGAGGCUGCUGCCUGGUUCAUGAAGAAGAGCUGUGUUUUUAUUCUCCCCCUGGACAUGCAGGCUGAGGUGCUGAGACAUCCCAGGAUUUUUGAAGCCUCGUUUCCACACAGACCAAUGUCAAGGCUUGCAGUCCUGUUGUUAAAAUGGAAAUGUAAUUAUUGACUCGGAAAAACGCUGCGCUGGGAGGUCACUAAUGAAGUCAGCCCCAAACGAGGGAAUUGGAGAGGGCUGCAUUGUUAGAGCCACCAAGAAAUAUCACCUCAGUUGUCAGCAGUGGCAGGAGAAGGAGUGCAAGGCUUUGGCUCGGGGUUUGUGGCUGAGCACAGCCACACAAAGUGGCAGGGCUGAAUUUGGAUUUUGGGAGUCCAGGACACAAGCUGAUCCUAUCAAAAGCCAGGACUGGGCAUUUAAUAAAAGCCAGACUUAAUUCUGCUGUUCCUUGGGCUCUGGACAACUCACCAGAGUGGGAGAUUCCUCCUCCAGCUCUCCCACCUCUGGGACACCAAACCUCUCCCCAUCCCUGUUUUCCUCUCUGCUGACACAGUUGGAGUCAGACCCAGCUGGUCCCUCUGGGAUCUGAGCAGGAAAACCAGUCCAGUUUUCCUCCUGACAGAUUUACUUUAAAUAAGUUUAUAUUUCUAAUUGCUUUGGGACAUGAAACAUGUAUGGAAAGAUCUCGAGGGAUUGGAUUAAGUAGUUUUAAUUAUGACUGGCCUCUAUGGAGAAGCAUUUCUUGAGUAUGUAUUAAGAAAUAUACUCUUGGUUUUUUAACCCCACUUGGUGUGUGGGAAUUUUCUAUAUCUGAAAAAGAGAAAUUCAUUUAAAUUUAAUGAUGGUGUCUCAUUAAUUCUGCACACCUGCUGUGAUCUACCAUGUACAAAUGAUAUCACAGGUACCACAGUGUAGGAAUUAGGGAUCUGAUCUAUAAUUCUUGCAAACAGCCCAGGCAGUUGGAAAGGCCAGGGGUUCAGUGAGCUUGGUUUAGGAUGCCCUCACACCUCUGGGCAGAUGUGAAAUUGUUCUCCACGCUGUGUUUCCAACGUUAGAGACACCAAAGAGCCCCAUUUCUGCUCCUUUCCCUGGGGACUAUUUCAGUUCAGCUGAUCUUAUUGCUGGGAAUAAAUUCUCAAUUUUUGAUCCCAUUUCCCCUCUAAUCCCAUUUAUCCAACUUGUAGCCCCCAAAAGGAUCCUUCCCCUCCUCAGGGUGUUUGCCCCAGGGAAUUUUAGACCAUUCUUGAUGUUGUCUUGUAAUUAUAGCUGAGCUGAUCUCCAUGUGUUCCAUAUGUGCCAGCAAACAGGGAAAACAUCCUGAAUCAAUCCAUUCAACGCUGAAUCAUUUUCCUGAGCUCUCACCAGCUCUGUUUCACUGCAUUUGGUGUUUGAUUUGUAAAACAGAAAUCCCCAACUGCUGCUGCAGGAUGGAUAUUCCACUGAACAGAGAGGAAAGGAUCGUGUAAUAAUAGCAACAACAAUAAUAAUGAUAAAUGAAAAUGACAACAAUAAUAUCAUUAUCAUCAUUUAAUUUUUUUUUUAAUCUCGCCAGAGAAAUAUUCCAUUUUAUUUUGAGGUUUGCUUGAAUGAAUUUUAGCUGGGGUUGGGGUUGUCAGAGCCUGAGCCCAAGUCCAGUGAAGACUUCCAGCUUAUUUUAAUGCAUAUGAUCAGAUUGGGAUUUGAAACCUCAGGUCUUCAGUUUUCAAGAUCCUGACUGACACAGAUCAAUGGAUUUUAUUCCAGAAACUCAGCUGGGACAGUUAAUGCCCAUUAAGAUGGAGACAGUGGGGUCCAGGCAAGUGUCAAAAUGUUCUUCUGAAUUGGAUAUUAUUAAAAACCUCAAAUUUGUGGAUUUGUGGAUUGAUACAAAUGUCUGGAAGCACAGUAUUUUAACUAUUUGAUCAGACAAGCCAAUGAGAUAAGGAGGGGAGAUAAAUUAGUGCAUAAUUUGCCAUUUAUUGAAUGACUACUGCAAUAUUUUUCACUCUUUCCAGUCAAGGGGGUGUUUAUUUCCUGCAUAAUUUGUUUAAGACCCCCUUCCCUUUCCAGUAAAAUUAAUUGCCCUCCAAUCUGGAACCAUAAUUCCCAGGUCUGUGCUGCAGUUGGGUGUGGUUGGGAAGGUUGUGGGUGUAACUUUGGGGGAUUUUGGCAUAACUGGAAUGGGGGAGUAGGAAUUGGACUUUUAUUUUGGGAGAUGAUAAGAUUUAAAGUGCCUUGUGUCUUCUAAUUGCCUUUCACGACCCUUUGGAGCUGCAAUCAACUGGUUGAGAAAAGCAGCAUUAAAAAAAUCAAAUUUUGACUUCUGAGAAUUAAAUUCUCAAGGCUUUCCUUGAGGAUAGGGCAUUUUUGCAUUUUUUAUUUCAGAAAAAUAUUGCUGGAGGGACAAAACAAUCACAUCAGUGAUUUGGUCACUCAGGAUAAAUCAUGGUUGUUCUGUUCAUUUUGAUCCAGAAUGCUCCUUCCUUACAGUUUUAGAAAUGUUUUCCAUUCAUGGCUUAAUUACCUCAGAUCACUUUCAGAGCUUUGCAGAAUAUAUAAUUUUAUAUGAAUAAAUUAUUUUCUCAAGAAUCCAGUGGUAUUAGAAUUUAUCCCCCAAUAAGAAAUUGUCAUUUUAAGUGCAGAGAUACAAAUAACAAUCCUUUUUUUCCCUUUCUCUUUUAAAGAUAACUUAUCUAAUACUAUAAAUCCAAUAUUAAAUAAAUCUGGGGAUGCAACAAGGGGCUACAUAAAUAAUUCACUUUAGCUAUUAAUGAAAUUCCUGUGCUAAUACUCAUGGAUUUAUUGCACACCAACCAUACACACAUCAAAUCUACCCAGAAUUUUCCUGCUGAAGACAAACAAAGCAAAAGGUUUUUAAAGGAAGAAUUGAAAUAAUGUGGAAGCACACAGCUGACUUUUAUAAAUACAUGAGCAAAUACAUGUUGAUUGCUACUCCAUGCUGAUAAAUGCAGCCUAUUGAAAACUGGGAGAAGAGAAAAUGUCUGCUAAAUAUUACAGCCUGGCUGAAUACUAACCAGGAAAGAGAUUUCAACUUCAUUGUUGGGAAUUCCCCAAAGCUUUUGCUUUUGCUGGUGCUUCAAUAGGCAGCUGUGGCACACACAGGACAAACAGAACUCUGUGCAAAAACCAAAACCCUCCCAAAGGAGCUGGAAUUGCAGAGUGACAGUUCCCUGGGAUAAAGAUAUUCCUGGGGUAAAAAAAUUGAUAGGAUUGGUGUUGUGCUGCUGGUGGAAUUGCUCUUGUUGGAACAAGCUGAUUUAAAUGUGUAAAAAUAUCUGGAAAGCUUUUCUAGGGGUUUUUCCUUUUCAUUUUAGUCCCUUUGUUUAGUGAGAAGCAAAAACCUCUUUUUAAGUGUUCUUAUGUGUGAAAAGGAGUGAGCCAAAUAAAUCUUCCCCUCGAGGAGGAAAUCCACCACUUCAAAAGGGACACCUUCCACUAUCCCAGGUUGUUCCAGCCUAGCCUUGGGCACUGCCAGGGAUCCAGGGGCAGCCCCAGCUGCUCUGGGAAUUUUAUUCCAGGGCCUGCCCACCCUCACAGGGAGGAAUUCCUUCCCAAUAUCCCUUAACCUGCCCUCUGUCAAUAGGAAACCAUUGCCCCUUGUCCUGUCCCUCCAGGCCCUUGCCCAAAAUCUCUUGUGGAACCCUUUUAGGCACAGUUUUAUAAAUAUAUCAUCUAUAUUGAGUUUCUUUUUUGGGAAUACACAUGACAGCAUCACAAACAUGUUAUAAUGUCAUUUAGCUGCAUGGGUUUUUCUAAAAAAUUGUAUAUUGAAAUUAAUGAAUACAAACUGAAUGAGUGUUUGAAUUAAGUGAGAAAAAGUUCCUUUUGUGAAAACCAGACUCUCUCUUUUCAAGUUUCUGGGCUGCCAGCCCCAAAAAUGAGAAUAAUACCUACCAGCACACUAGAAAUGAGGGAGCAGCAGUGUGGAAAUUAGUGUAUCCUAAUGGGAAAAUUAUAAGAAAUGCAGCUGUUCUUGCUCUCCCUACUGAUCCCAACCUUCAGAUUCCUCUGAAUUGAAUUGUAAAAUAAUGAUUCCCUUUUCUGGUUUCUCCCAAGAUACACAGUUAAUCCCUGAUAUAAAAAUACAUAAAGGAUACAUAUCUUUAGAAAGAACUAUUAUUAAAAUAGAGAAGGCCUCAAACCAAAGUGUUUCCAUCAUUUCCAGCUCAUAUUUGAACCCAGAUCUAAAUUCUCUGCCUGGGUUGGUCUCUUCUAAUCCUUUUGUUUAUAACCUGAUUUUCAGGGGGAAAAUCAGACUAUGGUUUUAACAGGAACAUUUGGCUGGUGCAGCGAGCACACAUACUGAAAUAAUCUGAAACAGCCUGUCUGCUUUAGCUUUUUUAAGCUCCUGAUUAUUUUUUUUUUCCUGAUGAUUUCAAAUGGCAGCGUAGUAAGAGCAGCAGGCCCGGGAGAGGCCCACCCCUGCUGCCAGCAGCGGAACCAGGCUGUGAAACAGAACUAAAACCAAGAGAGUUUGGUUUUUAGAGUUAGAGCUGCUAACCAAGAGAGGAAAUGUUAAUAACUCUAGGUGGAGGCAGGCAGCUCCCCAGGAGUGCCGUGGCUUUCAGGAGGUCUCUGGAGGCAGGGCAAUGCGUGUGUCGCUGCCCCAGCCCGCCAGCGCGGCCCUUGUGGCGGUGACAGCCGCGGUGACACGGGUGACAUCGUCCUCCCUCGUCUGGGGAGCACUGGCUGUGUGCAUGGGCCACUCGGGCUCUGCUCCCCCUGCUCUGCACGGCUGUCUUUGUGUCUCUUCUGGUUACCAGGGACCAGUUGUGACCCGAUUGCAGAUGGCAGCUGGUGCCAUCCAGUGUCUCUGUCCUCUGGUGCCCUGAAGACAUGCAAAUGAGAAAGAAAUGCAAGGGACAGCUCCUUUGUGUAAAAACCACUAUGUUAUGCAUAAUAUAUAACCACCUUUUCUUCCAAACUGCUCUUGGUUUGUUUUUCCUAAUGUGCCCUCUUUCUCUCCUGCAUCUCCUGCCACCAGAUCAGAAAUAUAACUAAAGGGACAAAACAAAAAAAUAAAGAUCGACAAAAAGAAUUAUUCUGGGACUUUCCAGAGAAACCAGGAUAUUUAUGGAUUUACUCUAUUCCCUGUGAUAACAAGUUUCUGAGAUGGUAAUACACUGUCAAAUAUUUUUCAAGGUUAACAGUUUAGGGACACAAUUAUGUUGCAAGUUGUCUGCAAGAUUAAUUAAGGGUAUUUCAGAGAUAUGGGAGAAAAAUUGUUCCAGCAGCUAUUAGAGGGUGAGUAAUCCCAACUUGAAGAGUAGUUCCCCUUCAGUUCAGUCCUCCUCAGAGAAAAUAUUCCCAUGUUUAAGGCAUACUCAGAAGCAGAUAAAAUGUGCAUGUUUUGGCUGAGAAGAACAGUGAUGGGGAAGCAAUUCUAGACACAACCCACACAGUCUCACAACCAGAGCUGGGAUGGCCCCACAAAGGUUAUUUUUAAAUAUUUUUAAAUAAAUAUUUCCCUGGGCCAGAAAAUACCAAAAGAUCUCCCACAGGCAAAGAAGGUGAGGGUGAGAGCCAGGCUCAGCAGAGCUCCCCUCAACAUCACUAACCACUGGGAGGGCAAUGGGGACCUUAUUAUCCAUCACUGAUAGAAAAAAUCAUUGGGCCAGUUAAUAAAGCAUCAGGGACUGUUUGUGAAAAUAAUUGCAAGGUCCAGAGAACUGUGAGUAUGAGAGAUCUGAAAUAAAAGAGAAAAAAACCCAUCAGCAGCCCAGGACUUUAAUCAAAGCACUGCAACCAAUGCACAUAUCUACCCAUCUAUCUAUAAUCUGAUAUUAUUUUUAAUCCCUUUUUUAAAUCCCAGUCACUAAUGAGGGAUAAUGCUGGAUUGAGGAGGGCCAAAGAGAUUUAUUGAUACCAACUCAGAGCCGUGGCUGUAAAUCAGGACAGUGAAGAAGUAUUCCACUGCUGGCUUAUGUUCUCUUCCUGCAAAAGGACAGGGAUGAAUGAACAAGUGUCUGAAUGAAUGACUGAAUAGAUGAAUGAAUGAAAGAAUGAAUGCAUCAUCAAAUAAAUACAUUAAAAUACAUUGCCAGCUCGCAGGGCUCGCAUGGCGCGGGAGCUCUUCGGGGCCUUUGUAUAAAGAGAGGCAACGGCAGCCUUGAUUUAUUAUAAAUUAAAAUCUGCUUUGCCCAAUCCCUCUGAGUGUUUAAUUUUUACUGAAGGUCAAAAGGUGCUUUGCUUUUGGAGAAAAUGCAUCCCAGUGUAGCUCCUGUUUCCAACGAGGAGCACGGAGCUGCCGCUGCCUGUCGGGGCUGCCCGCACUCCGAGGGACCCCGGGGCCACCAAAGGGUGACACAGCAGCACAGUCCCCAUGGGAGGACACCUUUGCUACCAUAAUCAGCCCUUUUCUCCCUCCUUGCAGGGCUCAAGGCCCUCUCCUCCUUGCUGACCCAAAGCCCAGCCCCCAUUUCAUGGAAUCAUGGAAUUAUGGAAUCAGGGAAUUGUUUACAUUAGCAAAGACCCCUCAAGAAAUCCAACCAGUCCCUCAGCACUGCCAAGGCCACCACUGAACCCUGUCCCCAAGUGCCACUUCUACACAUCUUUUAAAUCCUUCCAGGGAUGGUUAUUCCACCAGUGCUGGGGCUGGAAAACCCUUUUGCUGAAGAGAUUAUUCUCAAUAAUCCCUCACCUCUGGUGCAGUUUGGGGCCGUUUCCAUUUUCCCUAUCAAAGGGUAAGAUUUGUGAUCCUUCUCUGAAAUUUAACUCCAGGCUUGCCUGCCACGCAGCAAGGUGACAUCCUGUCCUGGGCAUGGGGUGGGAAGGAGAGGUGUAAUCCUGACAGGGACCCCGUGGCAGUUGUGGCUUUUCCAUCCCAAGGGCCAGGUACACAAAGAGCAUUCCAAAUCCCUCUGCCAGCUCCAGUGUGCACAAACCACCUCUGGAGCUUCAUGGGACCAGUUUUGUUCCCUUUGAGAAGGCUGGGGUGAUCCAAAUUUAAUUAUUUUUGAUUUUUUUUUUUCUGAAAUCCAUCUCUGUUUUGAACUUUGCACUUGUGUUUGAUUCCCUUUCCCUCUUCUCUAACGAGGUCCUGGAGGAUGAAGCUCUUCUAGCUUGAGAUGAAGGUCCUCCAAAUGAGAAGUACAGAGCCAUGGCUGCCAAUUUAAUUAGCUCUCAUGCAUUCACAUGCAGAUGGAAGGAUUUUUGGUAGGAGAGAAUCUGUUCAAGAUGAAUAAAUUACUUCAGUUUUUAGAUAACUAAACCAGCAGUUUUAUUCCCCACUGUUAAUAUUUCUGUCAGUCAGGUCAAGGAUAAUGAAGCAAAAUUCUAGAAAGGGUAACCCAAACCUUUUUUUUUUUUUUUUUUUUAAUUGCAAAUGUUUCCAUUCAUAAAACCUACAUCUGCAAGUACAAAAUCAACAGUUAAAUGUUUGCCUUUUCUGUGUCCAUAUUUCUCCAAGGAGAGAAGAUUUUUACCCAGAAUUCACUUAUAACAUUCUGCUGAAGUUUCUGAAGGAAGAACAAGUCUUCUAAACUUUGUUCCUGUUAUUUUAUAUUACCUGUGGGUAAAUAUGUUCUUUGCUGUUAAUAGAGUCAGUGUUUUCCUUCCAUGAUAAGAACUUUUUCCAUGUGUCUCCAUCAUGGUUUAGAGCAGUUCCUUUUCUCCCAGUUUUCCUAAGUUUAUUUGUAGCUUUUAUUGAAAAGAAAAACCAUGAAAACCCAACCCUGUAAGGGAACGUGGCUUAUGGAAUAAAAAUAAAAUGACCAAAAUAUCAUGGAAGAGAUUAGAGAUUUAAAAAGAGCAAAGUGCAAUGUAGCAGGACCCAUGUUCUCUGUUUUAUGAAACCACUUCCAGCAGAUGAAAUAACUGCUAGAAGCAGGUGUUUAUUCCAAAAGCUGCAGCAAUGUUGCUCUGUCAUGUCACAUGAAAUCAUCCCUGCUGCAUCAUGCUAUGUUACACCACAUCGUGGACGUAUGGCGGGGAACCCAGCGUGGAGUAACAGGAUGUGACAGACAGCAUUUAGCAAAAACGUUCACUUAUUUGACUCAGAUCCUUGCCAUCAGCUCGAAUCAGGGAGUGUGGUCCCAGAUGAGGCUGACAGAUGAUGUGAAUUCACUGAGGAACAGCAUCCAGUGGAAAUCUGAAAGUUUCUUGUUCUGUACCUGGUCCUCGUCCUGUCGAUGGCUUUGCUGUGCCCAGCUCCUCUUUCUCAGCGUUUCCUCCCCUGCUGUGAGUAGUGAGACUGGUUGGUUGUCAUUUAUUGUGACAUAACUCGUGACUUUCACAUGAGGGAUUAAUCACAUACUUGGUACGGAAGUGCUGUCAACUGGCAGCUGAUGGAAUUGCUGUAAACAGUUUUUAUCUGAGCAGAAUUGGGAACCACGGGAGAAGGUGUUUGGACUCUGUGCUUAUGUUUAGAGAGGGACUGUUUCAGGGAGCAAGAGGCUCAUCUGUGAGGAGACCUAUUUUGCAGUGUGACAAAGUCUUUUUGAUGCACUUGAAAAUAUGGAGACUUUGUUGUUGCUCUUGAAGGGACUGUUUUAUGCUAAUACUUCUAAAAAAAGGUUUAGGAAACAAGUGCAUGUUCAUGGAGACAAAAAAUCAAAUAUAAGCCAGGUGACUGAGGUACAGAACUUGCCAUAGUUGUAUUUUUAUAAAUAUCAGUCCUGACUUAGAUGGCAAUUUUAAAUCCAUAGGGCAGGACUUGGACAGCUGCAGGUGUGUUUGGUCACAAUUUGUCCUGGCAGAAAUUAGGAUGGGAGAUCCUCAUUCCAGGUAUUAAACAGGGUUUCAGAAGUGCUGGAGAAGGUAGUCCAGGAAAAUCAGGCUGCUGAAGUGUGAACAAAUUUACACAUGGACUUGAAGCUUCUCCUCCUUAUGAGGAACAAGACAACCAAUAGUUUGCAGGGUUCUGAAAAGAAACCUUUUGAUGAAAGAAAUUUUGUAUUGUGUCAGCAACUCACAGAAUCCACGGUCCUUUGUCCUCCCACCCUUCACAGAGGGAAUUUUCAAGACUCUUCUCAUUUGUGGUUUGGUCUCCCAUCAGCAGCUCACAGCCUUUGUCCAGAUGCAUUUGAUGGGAAGGGCAGUAAAUGCCAGCGGUGAUGCUGAUGAUGGAAGGUGCACCUGGGGAAUAAUUUCAUGGCUGAAACAUCCACAGCCUCCUGCGUGGUGGUCUCAGCACUCUGCCCUGAGGAGGAAAAAGAGCUAUUAUAGGAUCAUGGAAUAUCCUGAGUUGGAAAGGACUCACAAGGAUCAUCCAGUCCAGCUCCUGGCCCUGCACUGGCUCAACAAUCCCACCCUGUCCAGCAUUCCUGGAGCUUCUGCAUCCUCAGGCCCGUGCCCAUUCCCUGGGGAGCCUGGGCAGUGCCAGUAUCCUCUGGGGGAAGAACCUUUCCUGCUAUCCAACCUAUGGAUCAUGCAACCUAUGCAGAGUCAAUACGGAAAAUUCAACCUGUGCAAAGAAGAGGAGGAAAGGAACAACACUGGCCUCCUGUUUCCUUUGGUAUGUGCCAUCUUAGCUGAUACUAGAAGCAUGUAUUAUGUUUGAGGAAUUAAUUCCUCAUGGCUCUUGGGAAAUUUGGGAAGCAGGCCUGCUUUGCAUGUCCCCCAAACGCCCCGGGGUGAGCCCCCUGCCCACGCUCCCUCCGUGAGGUGCUGCUGGUGUUUGUGAUGAUGCUGUUCACCCUUCCCAGGAAGCCUCAGGAGCCUCCUGGCCUGGGGCAGUCUCCUGGAGCUGUGGGGAUGGCUGGGGUGGUGCCCCAGCAAUCUCAGCCCCUGUGGCCGUGUCCAUGAGCCGUGUGGGGGCCGGGGACCCGCAGGGAUGUGCAGUGGAGCCCCAGGAGGGGAAGCCCUGGCUUGGUGAGAUUCCCUGGAAAGCGGCAUGGGAUGGCAGGGUGGGAGGCUUGCCCAGCAGCCCAGGGGAGCUGGGAUGAAUAAAUCCUUAUCCAGAGGGGAAGCACCAGCUCUGGGUGAAACAAACCCAAUGCCCAAAGGGCCCAUGGGCACCCUGGGGAGCUGCUGAACAUCGAGGAGCCCCCCUGGCUCUGCAGCACGGACACAUCCCUGCUGCUCUGUCUGGAGGUGAGCCCUCCCCAGACAUUCCAUGAAGUGCCAGAAUAGCCAAAUUAAUGCUGCUUCUUGCUCCUGGUCACACCAGCCUCUCCAGCAGUUUUUAAGGAGAUGUUUCUGCCCAUCUCCCAAAGGCACUGUGCUUUUAGAAUCUGACUGACACUGGAAUUUGGUGUUCCAGGUGUUUGUGGAAGAAAUCCUUUCAGCAAGCAUGCUAUUUAUUCACAUCUUACCUGAUGAAAAAUAAUAAAAGAGUGAUUAUACAAUUAAUACUGGAUGUUGCUUAACAAUUGUAAGAGGUUUACUUAAUAAUUUUCUGAUGUUUUUUUCCCCCCUUAUUUAGGAAUAAAACAGACAUAAUUGAGCGUGCUAUUCUGAAGCUCCAAAUUACACUGUGAAGAGAAUUGAAGGAAACACAUUUCUUUGAUUUGAAUAUUUUUCUCAUUAACAGGACAUUCAGAAUAAAGCAGAAAUAUUUGAUGCACAGAGCCUGUGGCGGUAUCAAGUUAACACUGCCGUGCUCCCGCAUUUUACCUCAUGUUUACUAAUCACUCCAAAAAGAAAGGUCACAUCUUUCAUCACAAAAUGGAAACUUUUUGACAGCAAACAAUUGGAUUUUCAGCACUCCAUUUGAAGUGGAUUUCAGUGUGGAGAGUGAGAGCCCAAGGCAGUGGGAUGAGGUAACUGAGCAGAGCUGUGCUCUCGAGGUGUCAGUAACCACAAACUCUGAGUAAGGGCUCUCUCAGCUGUAUCAAGGUAUCAUGCUGUUCUCAAACAGGGGUAUCUGAGCUGAGAUUGUUUGGAGAACAGAACAAAUAAGAUUUGGGUAGGUGUUGGAGGGCAGUUUUGACUCAGACAACAAUGCCAGGGUUGAGACACUGCUGCAUGUCUGGGUCAGGAUGCUGCAGGACAAGUCAGCCUGAAGGGUAGGAGAGCCACAUUUACCUGCAGAGUGUUAAACCACAUUCCUCCUCUGAAGAGUCUUCUCUGUUUUAUCUCGUCUGUGCCUCCACCAUGGCCUUCUAGCUCUGUUCUUCUGGCUGGUUUUUUUAAGAGCUGUGUUUUGACAAAGUGAAUUUACUUGGUAGCUGGAAAAAAACCAAAAUGACAAACUUUUUUCCCAGGUAGAAAAUACAGCUUGGUAGUUUCUCAAGCAAAAUAAUCCCCAUGUAGUUUCUUCUGUUUCUCUCUCCUUCCCAUUCCUUCUGCUCCAAACAGAGGAGAAGCCCUGAAGUUCUUUUUGGCUGGGUGAGGGAAUUUCUGCCUCCCUGGAAGCAGUUCCCACCCAUCCCUGGGUGCAGAAAGGAGCUGAACCAGGGGCUGUGAGUGGAUAUGACCAGAGCACGGUGCUCAGAACUCCUCUUCACCCUCCCCUAGGCUCUGCUGUGAGCUACCCUUGAGACAGUGAAGUGAAAUCAGAGGAGUGACCAGGAAAUAUCACUGGCUCCGUUCCUCCUUCCCCUCCACUGGUUCCACAGAAUCAGCCUCCUCCAAGGAUUCUCCCAGGCGAUGACACCGGGAGGGCACAGCCUUACCCUGGCCAGGCUUUACACCUGGCUCCUGGAGAAAUCACUGGUAUGAAAAGAUGCACAGGUUGCCUGCAGCUCCAGCACAUAUUGCGUGGCAUGGCACACACAUAAGUGAGAUUAAUUUGAGUUCUGGGCAUCGUCAGUGCAAUAAAAACUGUGAUUUUUUUUAGUUCAGACCUACAGGCCAUUGCAGAGAAGAGUAAUCAUAAGACAGAAACGAGUUUCCUAGUUAAAAAUUAAUUCCCUAGACUAAAAAUAUAAUCAAACGAUGUCUACAGUAUUUUAUGAAGAGCUGGGAGGAUAAUAAAAUUUAAAGCAGUGCAACAUUUGCAUUUUGUUCAUUUCUAUCCAUAUUUUUCUGUAGACUGCCUUUCUGCGUGCUUGUUAAUCAUAUGCACUGCUACAGUCCUGGCAUUUUAAGAUCACUGUUCACAUCAAGAUUGAAAGGAAACUAAUUACAAUCACAUUUCAGGGUGGUUGUUCAAAGCUCGUUCGGCGCUGGCUACAGCAUGGGAGCCUUGACCUUUAUUUGUAAGCAUGAAAAUAAGGUAAAGAUGAAAGAUUGGUUUUCCUGCAGCUCAUACUCAGGGAUCAGGAGGCCUCCAGAGGGGUGUGGGAAGCCUCUCUCCUCUCCUCUCCUCCUCUCCCAUGCUGGCAGCAGAGGCCAGUAGUGCUAUGCAGAAGCUCUGCUCCACUGCAGCGAGAGGUGAAGGAAAGCUCCACGGUAUUUUUCAGCUCUCCCCCACGCUGGAAGAACAUGGAAAGAACCAGCAGCCCCGAGGAGCCUUUCUGACCCCCCGUGCAGAGCUUUGCAGGGAUUUGUUUGCAGUGCCUGGUGCUGCACUCUGUGCUUGGCUCGAGGUGUUGGCACGUGCCAGCCCCAAGCAGUGCCACGGUCUCUUCUGGCACUCAUUGAGUGGCUUUACCACACUCACAGUACUCAGGUGGAUGCACUGGGGCAGGAAAAGGUCCCUCAAACCUUAGGGAGUGCAGGUAAUCCUAACACAAUCCCAGGUUGCUCUCAGUGGGAAUGCAUUGAGAGCGUGCUGGAUGGCAGAUUUAUCCAGCAGGUUUCACCUUCUGUGUCCCUGGGUUUUCCAAACUGCUGUUUUAAUAAAUUUGUGCUGUGCUGAGAACGAGCUGAGGGUUGGUUGCACGAAUGGGUUUCACCCAGGAGCUGCUGAUGGGGGGCUGUCCCCAAAUGCCCCUUUCAGAGUCACUGCCCCGUGUUCAAAGCCGAGCCACGGCGAGUGCUGACCCCCAAAGGAUCUCCUGAGCUUCUGCCCGUCCUGGAUUAUCACAGCUCUGCCUGGAAUGAGCUCAUUGAGGAAAAGUUCACCAGCCCUGAAGAGAAACAAUCCCAUUCUCCUCCCACAGUGUGUUUACCCUGCGCAAUCACCCCGUGUCCAGGCAAUCUCUGCUGGAGCCCUGACGUCCAGUGGGUUUUUUGGCAGGAUCUGCCAGGUAAUUUGUACCUCCUGGUUGGAAAAGCUCUAUUUGGGGCAACAAGCAAUGAGAGAAGGGAAACUCUUCUCACACCCAGCUCCCAGCCCCCCUCAGCCUGCUGCAGGCACAGAACCACCUGGGCCAUGCCAGGACACAGACCUUGCAUGCUGCUGGGACCCCGGAUGCCACUCAAACCAAGGAGAAAAGAUGAUUUUGCAACACUUUUUCUGGUCUGUUCUCCUUCUCUCUACAUUCUUCAAAGCACAAAUUUACCCAGGCAAAUAUUUACGGAAACUGAAGGAAAAAAUAGACUGGUGCUAUAGACACUGCAGCAGUGAACUUCUAAUUACAAUCCACAAAGUAUUUAUGAAUAAAUUCAUCUAUUAUUUGUCUAGUUCGAGCACUGCGUACACUUUGCCUUGUACCAUUACAUGCUGAAGGAAACAAUAUGCAGCAUGAAAAUGAAAACAAUUUGACUUAAUUAUUUACACCAUUACCGCCACUUUGAAUUAGGCCUUCCAUUUCUUCGGGAUUUUGUAAAAUUUAACCGGUAAUUACGCUUGCUUAAUUAAUUUUAUUUAUCUACUACUACAAUGAGAUCAAAACAAAAAACCUACCAGAAUGCAAAGUACAGGCUGUGCACCCUAAUUGUAAAUGUUGCUUUUAAGCCUUUAUGAUAAAAAUGUAGUAUUUUGUACCAUUUCAUUUCAAGCGUAUCUGGCCAUGCUCCAGUACUAUUUAAGCGUAAACAGGAAAAGCCUUGGAGGACGAGUAAUCACACUUAAAUGACACAAAGAUCAUUAUAAUGAUGUUCCAAAAACAUGGCAAAAUUAGAUAUUGCAGAACUGUUUUCUUCUCUGAAGUGUUCCACCAGAUGGUGAAGAGUGCUGAAACCGUAAAUCCGAGAGAGGGGAGGAAAAACAUCCCCGCACUUCCCUCACGCUCCCAUCCCAGCUUGUCUCAAGUGGCACCUCACACCUUGGCUCUGUCAAACCUCUGAGCUGGAGAUGACACCGAGGUGUUUGAGUGCUGAAUCACAGCCUGGGAAAGCCCUGCUUUGUUCCAUUAAAGUUGUCAACCGGAUUUAUUUGGAGGCGAGGACGAAGGAGCGCGUCAGCAGAAGUUAUGGUGGUAAUUUGUGAAACUCUUAAUGAGAUAUUUUCAGAGCUCAUAAAGAGGAAGAGCCAUGUCAUUGAAUUACUGCAGAACGAGUGCAUUUUGAUACAGGAAAAGAGUUGGGCUUUUGUCGGAAAUGGCACUGCAUCAGUGGGGAUGUGUCAGGGAGUAUUUAAAGGGGUCUAACAAGGGUUGUAUAAAUGGGGUUCAUAUAAAUGGGGAGAUGUCUGUGUGUGUUUCUGCUCUGCAAAAUGGCCACAAGUGAGGUAAGUCUGCACCUUUAUCACUAUUUGUCUUUCUUUCCAAAGUUACUUUCCACAGGACUUGCUAGGUCUUCAGAUGUCAUUAGAUUUUUUGUUAUUUUUUGUUAUUAAGAAAUAUCUAGAAAAUUGGAAUUACUCAUUAAAGGAACAUCUAAUUUUGUUACUUAAAUAUUGGUCAGGGGGUUCUACUUUUAGGAAUAUCAAAGAACCUCAAGCACCUCCAUCCAUCCAUCCAUUCAUGCUCUCUGGAACUUCUAAUCUAUUUUAAUAUAUUGUGGAGAAUCCAUAAAUGAGCAAGGUGAAGGACUGGGGAGCUGUGGUUUCUGCUGACCCAUUCCCAGUCCUAGCUCCCUCUGGAAAUCCUGUCAUGUCCUGGGAGACAGUGAAGUCACAGUGGGCUGUGCUCUGGAGAAGGCUUGGGCUGGGAUGCAAUAAAUGAAGGAGAAGAGGGUGCCAAAGUACUGCUGAACCUUCCACAUUCCUGUUUGGUGUAAAUGUCUUUCCAAGCCUUCCACCUUCCUGAAACAUUCAGUUUCUUAACAUUUCCUCAGGAACACACAUGACAAAUCCAGAUCCGCAGGAAAACUUGUCCUUUUUCGCUGAAAGAUCCUGAAAUGGAAGGUGACUUCAUUCCCGACUGGCAGUCAUUCUAAUUCCAUGCUGAGCAAAGGAACAGUCUCUCAUUCACUGUUACAAAUAUUUUUGAACUGAAUGUUCACAGAGUCCGAAGAAUGGCCCACAUGCUGCAUUUGCUGCACUUCCAUUAUUCAGAGUUAGCAAUAAAAAUCAUGCAAAAUUCUCCCCCCUUCCCAUCCACCCCCAGUCAAUGGACAUUUGGAAAUGGACCUUGAGAAUGGGAGAGGGUGAAUACAAUAUCAGCAAUCCGGUUUAUCCAUUUGCAUCCAGCUCCUCUGCUGAAGGGAGGAGCCUGUGCAUGGCUGGUUUUCAAUGGCCUGUGUUAAAUGAAGGGCUGAUUUCACCCCCCUGCCUUGAGGACAGAGGACAAUUUGAUACUGUAGGUGACAUUAAAUGUCAUCUCAACCAUCCUGCUCAGGUGGCAUCACAUGGAAAGUAUUCCAUAAUAUUAAAAAUUAUCUCUGAACCAGUGGGAGCUUGCACAGAUCCCACGUUGCUCCCAAGCUAAAUAACUUGUGAGAACAGGCUCUCAGGCAAACUGUACCUCAGUUUUCCCUCUGCAAAACAGCAACAGAAGGAUUUUGGGAAAGCAUUAUUGUAUUUUCACUCGACACGGAUUAUUCUCUUUUUAGAAGGGCUCUUCUAACAACGCCAAAUCUUUCAAAAAACUUGAUUUACCAACAAAACCACUUUACAAUAAUUAGUAACCUCUCUGCCUUGAGGAAGGCAAAGGUUUUAUUCUGCUGUCUGAGCUUAAUUAUGUUUUCAGAGCCGUGUCAUGGAGGCUCAGAUGAAAUUCUUGCUUUGUGUGCAAGAAAGUCACACCACAUUUGCAUUUGUUUGACAGAAGCCCUGAUCUCAUCCAAUAUGGAGUGCUCGAAUUUGGCAAUGCUCCCGUUGGACAUCUAUUUUAUAUUCUGCCUAAAUUCCAGGCAAAAUAUCAUUCCUUGCAGUUAAUGCUGAUACCUUGGAGGGAGGGAAUAAAGCCUGGUCUGUCCAAAUGAAAUCCCCUGUCGGACAGAGCUCUGUCUCCACCAGCCAGCAGAGGCUGCUCUGAUGUUAAUGAUUCAUUAUUAAAUCAUUCAUUAUUUUCAGUAAUAAGACACAUGGAGGAAAUUGAACCCAAAUAUUGAAAUGAUGCAAUGAUCUAUGAGCCAGAGGGUGCUAUUUGGGAGCAGGCUGGGAAGCAGUAGUCCCUAAUCCAAGUCUUCUGGACAACCUGCUGCCCACGGGAUUUUCCAACUGGAUGUGGCCAGGUGGGCUCCAGGAGCAGCAGAGCACAUCCUGAUUCUGACGAGAUGGUAAGGACUGGGAUUACUCUCCUAGCAUAUAAAUUCUGUCACUCUGGUCCUUAAAAACCCAGGGUUUGUUCAACGAGGAGAGCUGUGGGUUUUAAUUGGAUACUUGAAAUAAACAGAUUGUCUGCCCUUACUUAGCAAACGGGAUUUUUUUUUAUUUCCCAGUUAUUAAUUUCCUUAAAUGUAAAGUGACAUCUAAAAUGAAAACAGUUUAUUGCUUGCCAGGAGCAAAGCCGGCCUAAUUUAAGAAAUCCAGAAUUAAAGCUUUUGAAGCAUAUCGGGGCAUGUUUAUAAAACAAUUAUCAUUGCAAACCUUCUCUCUGCUCAAUGCAGCCUCUUCAGGCCACCUCCAAAGCCUGAAACUUCAUUACCAGUCAUCCCCACCCCGAAAUGUUUCAUCAAUUGCAUAAAAUCAGGUCAUCCUUUGAUUGCAGCUUCCCUCUGUCGACCCAGGCGUUGAAUCCCAAACCAAACCCACCUGGAACACAUUCGAUGCCCAAAAAAAAAUUAACUCAGUGUUUAAAAUUAAGUAGUGUGCUCGUUAUUAAUAACUGACAGCAGACAAAGGAGUGCAGUGACCUCUCCAACAGAGCAUUUAAAUCUUUGCACAACAUGCUCUGCUUGUGCUAGGCUGGUUUCACAAACAACAGCUGUGGAGUUCGUUAACAUAUGAAUCCCCUUGAGGUAAUUUGGAGGAGCCAAAUGUGCUAAACUAAACACCUCAUUAAAGCAGUACUUUAAAAAACAAAACAAAACAAAAAAAAAAACAAAAAAAAACCACCAAAAAAACCAAACCAACCCCAACCCCAACCAAACCCCAAACUAAUUUCACAUUCCACUUCCACACGUGGAGAUUCUAUUAUGUGGAAUUCAUUCAGCUUCGUGGCUGGAAAUAGUGAGGGUUAAAAUCGGUGAGACGGGUUUUUCACUGCUAAGAUGCACUUGAGACUAAAGUGCCUUUGAAGUGUGCCUGUCACAAAGAAGCAAUUAACUGAGGACAAUAAUGUUUCCUUUUCCUCCCUGUUACUGAGCACGGGACUCAAAUUUGUACUCAAAUAUGCAGGACCUCGUUUCUCUCGAGUCUUGGGAGAGAAUGGACAUAACCAAAGGGACUCUCAUUUGGCUUGGGCAAGGCAGAAUCACACCAAGGGCUCCUGGGUGUCCCCCAGGAAGGCCUUGCAAGAGAUUUUCAGAGAAAUCCUCCAUGAAAACACUGCUGCAAGUCCAGGUGACCACACUCAAGAGCUACAGUCCCAAGAGAGUGGGAGAAACACGUCCUGCCCUUGUUCUUGCAGGCUCCAGAGGGCUCAGGUGCCCUGACCAAAAUUUACACCAAGAACAGCUUCUUUCAGUCCUUUUUUAUUUCUCCACCAUGCUAUUGGGAUAAUUCUGCUGGUAAAAAGGUUCACAAGCUCCUUGGAGCUGCUCCUCCUGGAAAACAGCAUCUCCUGCCCGGGUAACGCUGCCCAGUGAAGCACUGGAGCUUAAAUAUCUCCUGUGAUGUGCCUGUUCAAAAAACACACAGAAAUCCAGGCCUCUCCUCAGAAAAUCACCUUUUCUUCUCUGUCUCCAGCUGAAUUUGUUGGUGACUGGAAGGAGGGAUGAGGAGGACAAACGUUUCACGGUCCACAGUGAAUUUUACAAUAUUAAAAACAAUAUAAAGAUUGAUCCCCAAAACUUCCUGCCCCCAAAAAGAUAAAAACUAGUCAUCCUUCCUUUUUACCACUGGUUUUCUAUCUGCAUCGAGAUACUUUUUAAGAGAUGUUCCUAGAAUUUAUUAAUUCCCAAAUGGGUGUGCAAGUUUUCUUUUAAAAAUGUAGAUGUAUUUUCAGAUUUUGAUAAUGAUCUAAAAGACAACAGGGAAUUUUUUUGGGAGCUAGAGUCUUAUGAAGCAACAGCUCAUUUUCCUUCAGGAAAUUGUGGUUUAAGGUUCUCCUGAAUGACCUCUAGCUAUAAGAUGCCACAGAGCUCAUAAGUAUUUUGUUUUUUUCCUCAAAAAAACCUCCUAAUUUUAAUACUCCAUCCACAUCUAUUUUAUGUUUCCUUUAUCAGGAAAACAUCAACCUAAUUAGCAAUGAUAAUUUGGGACUUCCAUAAGAAACCAUUCACAUGGAUAAAAACAACAGAAGUUAAGUAACAUUGAGGCAUUUCUGCAUGCUCCAUAGUUUUUAUUUUCCUUUUUAAAGCCUUUAUUUCUGAAACUUAGGCAAGGAACUUGGUUUUAGGGUGCUGAAAAAAAAAAUAAAUAAAAAUCUCAUGCCUACAAUCUUAUUUUUGUUCGCUUUAAAGCAUAGCUUUAUAACAUGUUGGAAUUUCCUCAAGGUUUUGUAAAUACUCAUCUGAAUUCCUCCCAGGUAUUAGUAUGUCAUCCAAAAACCAGAAAAUACUAUUUAUUCUCUGCAGGAUUCAAUCCAUUCGUCUUUGAAAUCCUGCAGGUAACUGGCUCCCCCCAGGGUAAUCUUUCCUACUUCAAUAGGCACAAAUGUGUGAGUUCAGUCAGAAUUAGUGUGUUUUUAAAAUUCCGAUUCCUACGGAGCUGCCAGGCUUUGGACAAGCACAGUUUGGAAAAGUCUAUUCCCUGUGCCAGUUUCUGAGGUAAAUCCUGUGGUUUGGGGAUUUUAAUGGGCACACAGAGUGCAGCACCUGCCCUGACUUCCACAUGUUCCAUCAGUCCCACUCUUCCAACGCCUGUUAUUGCUUUUCCACGGUGUCUUUGCCUGUGUUCUGCACAAUUAUACCUCUAACAAGUGGAAAUAUUCCUGACACUUUUCCUUCUGCACAGUUUUUGGCUUGGUAAAUCCAACUUUCGCUCCUCCCAUUGGCAUUAUUGUGCUGCUUCUCAGCCUGGCUCCAACUUUUGUCUGAUUUUUGUAAUUUAACAGCUUUAAUAACAAAGGUCCCAAGAACCUCUGGUGACCCUGCCCUUUCUGGGAUUUGUGAAUCCCAUUUUCUGAGACAAAUGCUGUGUGAGAACCUUUGGGAUGAUCCAAGCCAUGCCUUCAGCAUCCUCACUCCCUCCCAGCCUGAGGACAUGGUGUGACCAAGACUAUGGAUUUUUAAAUGCUGCCACAUUUGAUUUAAACUGAGCUCAACACCUUCACCAGUGGCAGUUCCUUCAUCCACCCAACACCCAGCAGCUUCUUUCUCAGUUUGGGGAAUUAUACACAAACAGCAAAUUGAUUUCUGAGAGUCUUUUUCAUAGAAUUACCAUAACAACAAGGACAGUCAUUCAAAGCAAGCCAAAAAUGCAGAAUUUCUGGGCUGGUUCCUUAUUUGCAACCUAAAUUGUUCUAAGCAGGAAUUUGUGGUAGACACAUGAUGUUUUGCAGAGCCUUUAUAGGGACUUCAGAAUCCAUCUUGCUGCCUUUGGAAAACCCAAGUCUGAGCACUGCAACCUGCAGCAUAAAUCUUGAAGCUGUAUUUUUUACUUACCAGUAAAAUAUUCUUUUGCAUAGAUGUAUUUCGACAGCAGUUGCAUAAAAUACUGUUCAUAAUAAGAAGGUUUUGAAAUCUUCCACUCUUUUCAUAUAUCUGGAAAGUCUCAUAAAUGGCUUUUUAUCUAUGAGCUUAUUUCUUAAAGUCCAUUUUUCAGUGCUGUUUUUUUUCUGAGUUAAAAAUAACCAUCAAACCCCACAAAACAGACUGAGAAGACAGUGGUAGCCUAAGAAGGAGCUGCUCCAAAGCUGAAGUUUUUUAAUGGGAAGCUCUCAUUUUGGAUUCUUGUACAAACCUGAGAAUCAACUGCCACACAGCUGCAAACUUAAAUCAUCACCCAGGUGAAGCCAAGAGAUUCAAUUUAUGUAUUUUUUAAAGUGAAACCCUUGCCUAAGUUCCUCGUGCCUCUUUCUGCCUGCAGUCAGUGCCUCCAAAGAGCAGCUCUCUCUCCUUUGACAAGAGACAAAUUUGGCUCUCAGAGCUGCCCUGCCUUGCUCUGAAAAAUGAAAUUUCAUUUGAGACAUUUCCAUCAGCCUCUGGUGCUGUUUAACCAUCUUUCUCCCAUGCUGGAGCAGAGAGCAAUAAAGGAGCAGGUCACCAAAAAAUGGAUUAAGUGCAAACUCACAUGUGUCACACCAAAGUUCACUGUUGACUGAAAGUAAAAUAGAUUUUAAAGUCUUUUUGGAGCAGCAAGAUUCUAGAGGAAUAGAUCAAAUGUCUUACUUUUAUAUUGCCAAAAAGCUACAGAGACAUUUUUUGUCUCCUGUGUGUUUUGAAAGGAUCUUGUGUGUUUUGAAAGGAUCACAAUUUUGCCUGAGGGCCAAAUGAGAUAAUAGUAGUAAUAAUAAUAAUAACAAUAAUAAUAACUACUAUUAUUAUUAAUAAUAAAAACAAUAGCAACAAUAGCAACAAUAACAACAACAACAACAACAACAAUAAUAAUAAUAAUAACAAUAAACAACCCAAGCAAGACUAUUAGGAAAUAAUUGAGAAUUAAUAAACAUAUUUUAAAAAUAAAUUCCUGUGACCUUUUACCUUACAGUUAGGUUUAAUUAUAGAAAUACUUUCACCUCAAGAUGAUUAAAAUGAUAAUUUUUUUGAUUUUCAGUAAAACUUCCUGCAUUGCUCAUAGAGUUCCAUUUGGUAUCUCUGUUAUUCAUAAAAUUAAAAACCUAAAAAAAUAAUAAUUAAGGAAGAAACAAAUAUAUUCAGUCCAUAAAAUGAGCAGGACAUGCAUGAAAAAUAAAUAAAUAUAGAGAGGAUUAAAUUCUUGCAAGUUGUUCAUUGCUGAAUUAAGUGAUGGACUAAACACAAGCUUUUCUUGCCCUCCCUACUCAAGAUUUACUCUACUUAUCACCCAAUUUUCAAUUCCUUAAUAUACAAAAUCAUUUGCCUUCAAGGCAGCAAUAAUUUAGGACUGCCAUGGAAAUGAAUGUUUUUUUCCAUUAGGCAAAAUAAUUAUGCCAUAUAUCCCAACAGUGUCUUCGGCCUCCCAUCUCUGUGUGAAGGAAACCAUCAGUCAGCUGAGAUUGCACUGAAAAUCUUCAUCAACAGCUGCUGCAUCGAAGGAAAAUAAAAAAUAAAAAAUAAACAGUGACUUUUUCCAUGUUCUGGAAAUGAACACCUACAGGACAGGCACCGUGUCACAGUGAGGCCUGCUGCCUCCUGAGACAGGCAUUUCAGCUUGAUUUACGUGUUUGGAAGGCAGUACCUGUGCAAAUUUAAAGCCUGCAGCUCUGCUCAGCAGAACUAACUCGUAUAUUUUAUUGUGGUUUUUCAUGGGGCUGUGGGACUGUAACUGUGAGCACAGUAAAUCUUUACAAUCUUGGAUUCCUCGCGUGCUGCGCCCGAGGCCCGAGGCCCUCGUGAGGUGUUUUACUGCCCCUCACUCAUCCAGAACAAAGCUCCAGAAUUCUGCUCUGGGUGUGCUUCAGAAUUCACCCCAAGUGUCUCAUCUACUCUGCUGAGCUGCCAGUCACCUCCUGGGGACACUGUCCCUCCCUGCGAGCUCCUGGGACUGUCUGACUGCUGCUUCCAGCUCCUGAGGCUGGGACAUUCCAUCUGGAAACUGGACACUGUGACUGCUCAGAAAGUGCCUUUCAGCUCUGGAUCUCCUCAUGUCCCCCCUGGCAGCUGGAUCUGAGCUCGGAGGGGCUCCCUGCUAACAAGGGAGCUCCAUUCCCUGAUCUUCUCCUUGCUUGGCUCUGGUGGCUGAAUUGCCUCUGGCUCACCUCAAUCAGCUCCAUUUAUUCCAGCGUUUUGAGUAGCUGCAUAUGAAAGCCUCGCUGAUGGAGAUAUCACAUGGCUUUGCUUUGCCUACAGACAAUGAUUUCAUCUUAAUAAAGUCAGAUUUUGGCUCUGCCUGCUGCACAGUCGAGUGAGCUCUCCUACAAGCCCCACAAUGCAGCAGCUUUGUGAGGGGAAAAAAAUACUGGACAGAAUCAUUUAUCUUUUCUCUCAAUAAUCCUCAAAAUGAGCCAUGACUGACAAGUGGGAGCAAGGAGGAUUUGAAUCACUUGAAUUUCUUUUUCCAGGGUAUUUUUUAUUGAAACUGUGGAUGCCAUUAUCACUGCAGGAAGAGUUAUGAGAGCAUUUAAAGGGUUAAGACCUUCAUAUGCCUGAGGACACUUUUAAACCCUGGUUUUCUGUACUGCUCAGUCCUAUCAGGUUUCUUUCUCCCUCUGGUCAAAAUAGUAACUUAUAUAAUUGCCUAAUUCAUAUGAAUUUGCAAGGCAACAAAUGAAAUGACAAAGCUCCUCGGAAACACCAGCAUUACACAAAAAUACACAUAAAUCAAAUAAGCACCUCCAACACCUGAAGUGACACGUAGCCACAUCGAAUUCCUGCUCUUCCAACUGCUCAGCCCACGAAGCAGAGCAAAAAAUGCAGAGCACAAGGCAGAAACGUGCCAGGCAGCCUCUUUGGGAGGCUGUGCAUGCCACUGGCAGGGGCUGCUUCACAUUAGUGCCCCUCAAUUCUUUGACUGAUUCGUUCCUCGGGUGUAACAGCUGCCCACAGGUUGUACCUGCAUGGGUGAAUCGAGUGUGACACAAAGCCAGAACAUUGUGGUGCGUUGCUUCUUGUACUGAUAAAUAUUUCAGCAGAAAGCCUAAGUGCUCGUUCUGCAGCGCCCGAUCCUUCUCUGCUGCAAGAGGCAGAAAAAGCAACGGGAAAACUGCUGCCCAUAAUGGAAAACUUAAAAAAAAAUAAUAAUAAAAAAAUGUUGGUAAGCUUGUGGUAAUGGAACACAUAUUUUAAAUUGAUUUUUGUUUCUUAGGAGGAUUUGAAGCACUUGGAUUUCUUUUUUUUCAGGGUAUUUUAUAUUGAAACUGUGGAUGCCACGGUCACUGCGGGAAGGGCGAUGAGAGCAUUGAAGGGUUAAGACUUUCACAUGCCUGAGGACACUUAUAGUCCCUAAAAUUCCACCUAAACCCUACAACUCCUUUGUUGUUUUUUCCUUUUUGUUUUAUUUCUAACAGCCAGUCCAUCUACAUAGGUCAGCCCUGAAUGGGCCACACUUCAAGGCUCUUUCCUUCAUGGAUUUUUUUUCCAUGGAAGUAGAAGAAAAAGAAGAAAAACAUCUGAGCCACUCUAAGUUGGAGCAUCCUUCUCCCCUCUUCCCCCUUUCAGUGUCAAGUGAGAGAUUUACCCACCUCCCACCCCAGUGAUACCAGACAGCAAAAUAUCCUGGCUCCAAACAGCAUUUCCCAAGCUCUCAGUCAGCCCCAGGAUUCUGGGAUAAGCAAUUCCAGCUUUACCAGGAACCCUGCAAAUAAUAUUUGUGCAGCUCCCAGGACAAACAAACACGGGCAGGAAGCAUUUACUAACCCAGGCUGUGUUAAUUGCUUCUGGGAGUGUCUGCAGAUGAUUCUACCUGAAAAUAUUUGAGGAUUUUUAAUGAAAACUCAUAGAUUGUGGCACUCAGACAACAAGGCAAACAUUUCCUUCAUUACUUCACUGGAUUUUGAAAUUAGAAAGGAAAAGAGCCACAUCUGUGCUCAGGAGUCCUUUUCCAAACUCCCCAUCCAGCUCUGUUGGCUUCCAUGGCUGGACAGUAUGGAUUGAGUGGUCCUAAAUUUGGGAUUUACUCCUAAAACCUCGAGUGUUUCACCUCAUGGGUUAUUUAUUGCUUGGAAAUCAGGAAUUUGUGAGUAAAAAAAGGUGAGGGAGGAGAAUUAACUCAAUAUUUCCUUCUAGGAUCACCCUCCAUCCUCAACUCUCCAGUGAGAUUUGGCUUGUGGGGACAUUUCCCUCUGAGUUAUAAUAAACUUUGUGCUGUAAAAGUUGCUUAA
Parus major (Great Tit) is the source of this 30885-nucleotide long non-coding RNA. RefSeq lists it as uncharacterized. The transcript is spliced from 2 exons. The record is from RefSeq and is a predicted model, not a curated record. Lineage: Eukaryota; Metazoa; Chordata; Aves; Passeriformes; Paridae.